UAAGUGUAAAACAUUAUUUACUCUUAUUUAACUGUUGCCUUGUGUCCUCCUGUAGCGGGAAAAGCUUGUGAGCUGCAAUAAGAUGUUUCGCCAUGCAGCGCUGCGUCUGCUCCCAACUAAACCAGCCGACUGACGACGACUCAUUUUGUCCAGCUGAAGCGCUUGUGAGCGGCCAUGCAGCGCUGUUAUGCUCCCAACUAAACCGAUGACUCAUUUCAUGCAGGUUGGGCUUGUUUACGUGAGAAGUGAGUGACUCAUCAUAGACACCUGGAGCUACACCUUAAGACGGACCUUGUGUCGUUCUGCCAGUCUGAUGCUGUGGUGAUUUUUACAGGUGACGAGAGGACUCGUGGACACUGACCUGAAGAUGGAUGACCUGUUUGAAAACAUUUCACUUUGCGAAAGCAAGACUUGACUGAUUGUAAUAAAGUGUCAAAACAG
Long non-coding RNA from Cottoperca gobio, 441 nucleotides. RefSeq lists it as uncharacterized. NCBI's taxonomy places the organism in Eukaryota, Metazoa, Chordata, Actinopteri, Perciformes, Bovichtidae. The transcript is spliced from 5 exons. The record is from RefSeq and is a predicted model, not a curated record.